ACAUCUUAACCACUGGGGAAAAAGUGUCAGUGAAAUCAAUACCUUCAACCUGAGUAUCACCUCUAAUCACAAGCCUAGCUUUAUGCCUUUCAACAGAGCUAUCAGCCUUAUAUUUGAUCUUAUAAACCCAUUUGCAGCCUAUGGGUUUUUUACCAGGAGGAAGAGGAACAACAUCCUAGGUAUGGUUGGCAUCCACGGCAUCAAACUCCUUUCUCAUGGCAUCCUGCCAUACUGGAACAGAUGCAGCUUGAGAGUAAUAGAGAGGUUCAGAUUCCAGAGAAGAAGAAGAGGAGCCAGAAAAGGCAGUAAGUUGACAGACAUAGUCCUUAAGAUGGAGGAUUAUGUUGUCUUCCAGAUUUUCUGGGAGCAGGAGCAGAUGUGGAAGAAGGCAAAUUAUGAGGAGAGGUAUCAGGAUUGAAGGAAGGAAUGGAGGCUGGAUUAGAAGAAGAAGAAGUGGUAGCAGAAGGAGGAGGAGGAGAAGAACAAACAUGUAUCAACAAGUCAGUGUCAGAGAAGGAACUAAGGGAAAUGGGGAAGGAACAGGAGAUGAAACAUUCUUAAAUGGAAAAGAGGUUUCAUGAAAUACAACAUCCCUGGAAACAAAGUAUUUCUUUGAAGUAAGGUAAUAAAGUUUAUAACCUUUUUUGGCAAAAGGAUACCCAAUGAAGACACAGGAAAGGAUUCUAGGUUUCAAUUUGUCCCUUUGAGGAAUUGGAACAGUCGCAUAGGCAAGGCACCCAAAAGCUCUCAAUGGGCUCUAGGUUUCAAUUUGUCCCUUUAAGGAAUUGGAACAGUAGCAUAGUCAAGGCACCCAAAAGCUCUCAAAUGGGAGUAGGCUGGUGCCUUUCCAUGUAAAACUUCAAAGGGAGAUUUAUGAUGAAGGAGUCUGGAUGGUAGUCAAUUAAGGAGAUAGGUGGCAGUUAGUAAGCAGUCCCCCCAGAAAGAAAUUGGUAGGCCAGAUUGAAAAAGUAAGGCUCUACAUGUCUCAAGAAGAGUCCUAUGUUUCCUUUCCACAACACCAUUUUGUUGGGGACUAUGAGGACAGGUUGUUUGGUGAAUAAUCCCCUGAUUGCUAAAGAAAGAAACACCCUCAAUGCUAGACCCCAGUUCCAAAGCAUUAUCACUUCUAACAAUUUGAACCACAGCAUUAAGCUGAGUUUUAACCAUAUACAGAAAUGAUUUAAGCAUGCAGAAGGCAUUGCUUUUAGAUCCCAGUAAAUGUGUCCAGGUAGCCCUAGAGAAAUCAUCAACACAAAAGAAGAUGAACAAGCAGUAGAGGAACUAAUAGAGGAAGAAGGGGAAGCUGGAGCCCAGGCAAGCUUGUAUAAACCAGCCUCCUCUCUACCAAGAUCCAGAGGCCUCCUCAGAGAAGGGUCCUGUAUCAUGUGGAGGAAGCAGCAAGUUGGAGUGAACAAAAAACUAUGCAAUGCAACUGUUUUACUAACUUGUGGACAUAAAUCAAGUUGUGUUUAAAGGAAGGAACUAACAAGACAUUUUGAAAUGUGAUAGUUGAAUUUAAUGCAAAGGAUCCUGUCCAUGUCACUUUCACUUUACAUCCAUUAGGGAGAGUUACAAUGUAGGAUGUAGUUAAAGGUGUUAUGUUGAAGAGUAAACUUUUAUCAUAUGUCAUAUGAUUAGAUGCCCCUGAGUCUAUUAUCCAGGUGGCAAAAUUAAUAUGGGUAAGCAUGUAAAGCUUGGAAUCAGAAAUAGGGCUCUCAGUUAGCAUAGUACCAGCAAAGUUAGCAGCAUACAUGGGAGGAGGAGUCUGAGCAGUGGAGUCCCUUAACUGGGUCUGUUGUAACAAGCUCAUCAAUUGAUCAUACUGUUGUAUGCUCAACCCUGGUAUCACAGAACUCUGGUCAUCUAUGUUUGUAACAGAUUGAUGGCUUUCAGGAGGAUUCCCUUGGGGAACAGACACAUGUCCUUUAGAAGAAGGAAAAUCCAAACCAGCAGUAAGAUGAGCAGCAGCAGGUCUCCUCCCCUUGUUAAAUGUUAUACUUUGUGGAUACCCAUGAAUCUUGAAACACUUAUCAAUUAAGUACCCAGAUUU
Molecule: long non-coding RNA, 2050 nt
Filed under: Nicotiana benthamiana
Lineage: Eukaryota; Viridiplantae; Streptophyta; Magnoliopsida; Solanales; Solanaceae
Description: long non-coding RNA (NBEN_LNC004039)
Source: RNAcentral